This 908-nucleotide non-coding RNA is filed under the name Dendropsophus elegans (elegant forest treefrog). RNAcentral describes it as "partial 12S ribosomal RNA". It matches the Rfam family "Bacterial small subunit ribosomal RNA". The record is from RNAcentral. Lineage: Eukaryota; Metazoa; Chordata; Amphibia; Anura; Hylidae.
UUAGUUAUUUCUUAAUAUACACAUGCAAGUCUCCGCAUCCCUGUGAAAACGCCCUUAAACCCCUACAAUGGGUGAGGAGCCGGUAUCAGGCACAAAACAAGCCCAAGACACCUAGCUAUGCCACAUCCACACGGAAAUUCAGCAGUGAUUAACAUUGAAUAUAAGCGCCAGCUUGAAUCAGUUAAAGUAAAAAGAGCCGGCAAAUCUGGUGCCAGCCGCCGCGGUUACACCACGUGGCUCAAACUAAUUUCCUCCGGCGUAAAGCGUGAUUAAAGUCUAUUGUUUACUGCAAUUAAACCAAAACUAGGCCGUGACACGCUUGUCCUUAGGAAACCCAAAACGAAAGUCAUUGCACGCCCCAACUUGAAUUCACGACAGCUAGGAAACAAACUGGGAUUAGAUACCCCACUAUGCCUAGCCGUAAACUUUAAUUUACCCCCUCCACCCGCCAGGGUACUACGAGCAAAGCUUAAAACCCAAAGGACUUGACGGUACCCCACAUCCACCUAGAGGAGCCUGUCCUAUAAUCGAUAACCCCCGCUUUACCUCACCAUUUUUAGCUUAUUCAGUCUGUAUACCUCCGUCGUCAGCUUACCUCGUGAGCGCUAACUAGUGAGCCCAACGCCUUUACGCCAACACGUCAGGUCAAGGUGCAGCAUAUGAAAUGGAAAGAGAUGGGCUACACUGUCUAAUCUAGACAACACGAAAGACUAUUUAUGAAAUCUAGUCAGAAGGAGGAUUUAGAAGUAAAAAAAGACCAUUGUGCUUUCUUUAACUUGGCACUGGGGUGUGUACACACCGCCCGUCACCCUCUUCAAAGCUCUAAUAUAGUCUCUAACACAAUAUACUAAACUAGAAGAGGUAAGUCGUAACAAGGUAAGUAUACCGGAAGGUGUGCUUGGAACAAA